RNAcentral lists this ribosomal RNA (430 nucleotides) under bacterium. RNAcentral describes it as "partial 16S ribosomal RNA". It matches the Rfam family "Bacterial small subunit ribosomal RNA", at positions 355 to 776 of the family's 1533-position model. The record is from RNAcentral.
UGGGGAAUAUUGGACAAUGGGCGCAAGCCUGAUCCAGCCAUGCCGCGUGUGUGAAGAAGGCCUUUUGGUUGUAAAGCACUUUAAGCGAGGAGGAGGCUACUUGGAUUAAUACUCUAGGAUAGUGGACGUUACUUGCAGAAUAAGCACCGGCUAACUCUGUGCCAGCAGCCGCGGUAAUACAGAGGGUGCGAGCGUUAAUCGGAUUUACUGGGCGUAAAGCGUGCGUAGGCGGCUUUUUAAGUCGGAUGUGAAAUCCCUGAGCUUAACUUAGGAAUUGCAUUCGAUACUGGGAAGCUAGAGUAUGGGAGAGGAUGGUAGAAUUCCAGGUGUAGCGGUGAAAUGCGUAGAGAUCUGGAGGAAUACCGAUGGCGAAGGCAGCCAUCUGGCCUAAUACUGACGCUGAGGUACGAAAGCAUGGGGAGCAAACAGG